Molecule: ribosomal RNA, 253 nt
Filed under: Segatella copri DSM 18205
Lineage: Bacteria; Pseudomonadati; Bacteroidota; Bacteroidia; Bacteroidales; Prevotellaceae
Description: Prevotella copri DSM 18205 partial 16S ribosomal RNA
Rfam family: Bacterial small subunit ribosomal RNA
Source: RNAcentral
UACGGAAGGUCCGGGCGUUAUCCGGAUUUAUUGGGUUUAAAGGGAGCGUAGACGGCGGUGCAAGUCUGAAGUGAAAUACCCGGGCUCAACCUGGGAACUGCUUUGGAAACUGUAUGGCUAGAGUGCUGGAGAGGUAAGCGGAAUUCCUAGUGUAGCGGUGAAAUGCUUAGAUAUCACGAAGAACUCCGAUUGCGAAGGCAGCUCACUGGAGCGCAACUGACGCUGAAGCUCGAAAGUGCGGGUAUCGAACAGG